GAUGAACGCUGGCGGCGUGCCUAAUACAUGCAAGUCGAGCGAACGGACGAGAAGCUUGCUUCUCUGAUGUUAGCGGCGGACGGGUGAGUAACACGUGGAUAACCUACCUAUAAGACUGGGAUAACUUCGGGAAACCGGAGCUAAUACCGGAUAAUAUUUUGAACCGCAUGGUUCAAAAGUGAAAGACGGUCUUGCUGUCACUUAUAGAUGGAUCCGCGCUGCAUUAGCUAGUUGGUAAGGUAACGGCUUACCAAGGCAACGAUGCAUAGCCGACCUGAGAGGGUGAUCGGCCACACUGGAACUGAGACACGGUCCAGACUCCUACGGGAGGCAGCAGUAGGGAAUCUUCCGCAAUGGGCGAAAGCCUGACGGAGCAACGCCGCGUGAGUGAUGAAGGUCUGCGGAUCGUAAAACUCUGUUAUUAGGGAAGAACAUAUGUGUAGUAACUGUGCACAUCUUGACGGUACCUAAUCAGAAAGCCACGGCUAACUACGUG
Molecule: ribosomal RNA, 496 nt
Filed under: uncultured bacterium
Lineage: Bacteria
Description: partial 16S ribosomal RNA
Rfam family: Bacterial small subunit ribosomal RNA
Source: RNAcentral